Molecule: RNA transcript, 3145 nt
Organism: Athalia rosae (coleseed sawfly)
Lineage: Eukaryota; Metazoa; Arthropoda; Insecta; Hymenoptera; Athaliidae
Gene: Cdk8
Gene name: cyclin-dependent kinase 8
Exons: 12
Source: RefSeq, a predicted model, not a curated record
GCUCCCUUCCCAUUUUCCAAAACCGUGAACUGAUGUGAACUGGUGCGAAUCGGCUGACGACUCUUCGGCUUGAAAAAUGUCAUAACUAAUCGCUUGUGAUGACAUCAAAUAUGAUGGAUUAUGAAUUCAAAGUGAAAACUCAGAAGGAUCGUACUAAAGUUGAAGAUUUGUUUGAGUUUGAGGGGUGUAAAGUCGGGAGGGGGACCUAUGGACAUGUAUACAAGGCGCGGAGAAAAGAAGGAGUCCCUGAUAGCGAGUUGAAGUCACGCCCAGAUACAAAAGAUUUCGGUCUGAAACAAAUCGAAGGCACUGGACUUUCUAUGUCAGCAUGUCGUGAGAUUGCACUUCUGAGGGAAUUGAAACAUACCAAUGUGAUAACAUUGAUACGAGUGUUUCUAUCUCAUAAUGAUCGAAAAGUGUGGCUCCUUUUUGACUUUGCAGAGCACGAUUUAUGGCAUAUAAUCAAAUUUCAUAGAGCUGCAAAAGCGAAUAAAAAACCUGUUAUGGUUCCAAAGGGUAUGGUGAAGUCACUUUUAUAUCAGAUUUUAGAUGGAAUUCAUUAUUUACAUUCAAACUGGGUUCUUCAUAGAGAUUUGAAACCAGCAAACAUACUAGUGAUGGGGGAAGGUGUUGAGAGAGGGCGAGUGAAAAUAGCUGACAUGGGAUUUGCACGUUUAUUUAAUGCACCAUUGAAACCUUUAGCAGACUUGGAUCCUGUUGUUGUAACUUUUUGGUAUAGAGCUCCUGAGCUUUUACUAGGUGCAAGACAUUACACAAAAGCAAUUGAUAUCUGGGCUAUCGGAUGUAUAUUUGCUGAACUUCUGACAUCAGAACCUAUAUUUCAUUGUAGACAAGAAGAUAUUAAAACUAGUAAUCCAUAUCAUCAUGAUCAACUUGAUAGGAUAUUCAACGUUAUGGGUUUUCCAUUGGAAAAAGAUUGGGAAGAUAUCAAGAAAAUGCCAGAGCAUCCUACGCUCUUGAAAGACUUUAAGCGGUCAAACUAUGCAAAUUGUUCACUAACCAAGUAUAUGGAUCGCCAUAAAAUUAAACCGGAUAGCAAGGCCUUCAAUUUGCUGCAAAAACUAUUGAUGAUGGACCCUAAUAAGAGGAUAACAUCAGAACAUUCCAUGCAGGAUGCGUAUUUUCAGGAAGAGCCUUUGCCAACCCAGGAUAUUUUUGCUGGUUGUGCUAUCCCAUAUCCAAAAAGAGAAUUUUUGACUGACGAUGAUACCGAAGAAAAAAGUGAAAACAAGGCGAGACAAAAUCAACAACAAACAGUAAGCAUAUCUUUUGAACUAUCGUCCAGCCAUGGAUUGAAUUUUGAAUUCUUACUUUUACAUUAUGUGCUCGCACCCAGCUUUGUAUGAUUUUAUCAAUUCAUUCUUGCAUUAUUGAUUAUUUUUAUGACAAAAUGCUAUCUAGCAUUGAAUUAUCUCUCAGUAGUGAUUACUCACGAUAUUUUUAUGUUCUGUCAGUGAUUUGUUUCAAACUUAUUAAUUAUUUUCAUCAUUUAAUUUGAAUCAUUGAAUUAUUCAAUUACGUCAAUCCUUUUAUAUUACAUAGAACUGGCAUAUAUCAAAUUUGAAAUGGUAGUAUUAGAGGUCGGUUGAUUCAAUUCUUUGUCUUACACAUUCAAGACUUUUAUUUCUGCCCACCGGUUUGCUAUGUUUUGUGCUAUGCAAUCAAAGAUGAAGACGAUUAACGAAUCACUCAAUAUUUCUAAACACUUUUGCUUCUUCAUCUAUCUGGCUGUACUGUGAGAGAUUUACUUAGUCUAAGCUUUCAUAGGACAUAGUUUAUAGGAGUACACUAUUGAAUACAUUUAAGUUUGACGAGCGACGAAAUAUGCAGUGACACCUGGACGAGUCUUGCCAUGUAUAGUUAUAAGUCGUUAAGCCGGAGCCCGAGUGCAUAUCCGGUCAUUUUUUACUGCCUGAGUGAAUAUUAUGCGGAUGAAAGUUGACCUCGCGAAGGUCAACAGAGGUUUUGUGCCUGUACGGUGCUUUGCGAACUCGCUGACUGAACUCGGCGAACCGUUCUAUUAGAUCUGCAAAUGAUAAGUGUCAUUAGUUUUAAUGAUCAAUUAUGCGUAUAGGGACAAUGCGAGAGAACUUAUUUGCAGCAACGACCCAGUAUUGCAUUAGUGGAUCAUUUCCAUCUUCGAUCCACGUUAUUAAAAGUGAUGAAAUAUGGGCGUGCAAAUGUAUAUAUAUGUGGCGUAUAUUUGAUCUAAUGCAGGUAAAUACAAUGAUUGUAAUGAUGAGGAGCGGCAAACUAUUGAGAAAGCUCACAUAGUUGAAAGAUGUCAUUAUCGCUGUUAAUGAGUGCAGUGUCGCAUUUUCAGAUGUACGAACAAAAGUAAAACUGUUGCUGCAAAUGGCAAUUCCACUGUAUUGUCAAUUUAAUUGAAUAUAUUUCGUUCUUCGUAGGUAUCAGCUAAAUGUUAAAAAUGUGAGCUGUUUACUGUGAAGAUUACGAGAUUACAUUGACUGAAUGUACAAGGUCAGCCUGGUCGUCUCAAUUUUUCUAGGCUUACUAACAUCAACCUUGCUUGUGCAUGCACUGAACCUGUAAUGAAGCGUUGUAGUCAGAAAAACAUGACUCACAUCGGUAAAGUACAUAAUUAGUUAUCGUGCAGGCACUAGUUUUAAUAUUUGCCAUAGAAAAUAUGAUAGAUUCCACAACAUUUUCAGCAGGUAUGUAUUAAUCAAGACUCCAAAUAACUGAAUUUUCAUUUUUAUUAUGUUAGGUCCAUGAAGAUAUCCAGAUAUUUGUUGUGUGAAUACAAUUAAAAAAUUUGAAUCAUUCUAAAACUGUUUCUAAGUUUUCAGAAUAUUUCAGUUAGGGAAAGUUUUACGUCUAGGCAUAAUUCGUGUGAACCGAUGUACAUGAAAAUUGCACAGACAUAAGCGAAAACUUGGUCAGGACGGUCUUUUGAAAUAUUACAAAAUUCUUCUUUGCGUUACAUUGAAUAUGGUGGCCACCAAAUUUAGUUACUGAUUGUGCCAACGCAACAAAGGGAGGUACGUGCCAAAUUUAUGGUGGGGCGCCAAAGCUGUAGGUGAGCCAGCCGAGGAAAUAACAUGCAGAUUUGAAGCAAAUCCGAACUGAUUAAGGCUGGGACUUGUUAAGACUGAAAAAUUAU